CUUGUAGGUGGCCAACUAAGUCAGACGUGAAAUCCCUCGGCUUAACCGGGGAACUGCGUCUGAUACUGGAUGGCUGGAGUUUGGGAGAGGGAUGCGGAAUUCCAGGUGUAGCGGUGAAAUGCGUAGAUAUCUGGAGGAACACCGGUGGCGAAGGCGGCAUCCUGGACCAACACUGACACUGAAAAGCGAAAGCCAGGGGAGCAAACG
This 207-nucleotide ribosomal RNA is filed under the name uncultured bacterium. Its description in RNAcentral is "partial 16S ribosomal RNA". It matches the Rfam family "Bacterial small subunit ribosomal RNA", at positions 568 to 774 of the family's 1533-position model. The record is from RNAcentral.